Amphiprion ocellaris (clown anemonefish) is the source of this 124-nucleotide small nuclear RNA. The record is from Ensembl. Lineage: Eukaryota; Metazoa; Chordata; Actinopteri; Pomacentridae.
UAGUUGCAUGAAAAGAGAGAAGGUUAGCACUCUACUUGACAAGGAUGGAAUUGGCGCUUGUGGCAACAGACACAUGGUUAAAGCUUUGCCAACUACUUCAUGGCAUCUUUAACCAUGUUUUGGC